AUGCAGUCGAACGGGCUAGCAAUAGUCAGUGGCGCACGGGUGCGUAACACGUAGGUAAUCAACCCCUUGGUUCGGGAUAACGUUCUGAAAGGAGCGCUAAUACCGGACGCGUCUUCGGGAGCUUCGGCUCCUGUCGAGAAAGACCCGCAAGGGUUGCCGAGGGACGAGCCUGCGGCCCAUCAGCUAGUUGGCGAGGUAAUAGCUCACCAAGGCGAAGACGGGUAGCUGGUCUGAGAGGAUGAUCAGUCACACUGGAACUGAGACACGGUCCAGACUCCUACGGGAGGCAGCAGUGGGGAAUAUUGCGCAAUGGGCGAAAGCCUGACGCAGCCACGCCGCGUGAGCGAUGAAGGCCUUCGGGUCGUAAAGCUCUGUGGGGAGAGACGAAGAAAGCCUGUGAAGAGCAGGCCUUGACGGUAUCUCCUUAGCAAGCACCGGCUAACUCCGUGCCAGCAGCCGCGGUAAUACGGAGGGUGCGAACGUUGCUCGGAAUCAUUGGGCGUAAAGCGCACGUAGGCGGCGGCGUAAGCGGGAUGUGAAAGCCCAGGGCUCAACCCUGGAAGUGCAUCCCGAACUGUGUCGCUUGAAUCUCGGAGGGGGACAGAGAAUUCCCGGUGUAGAGGUGAAAUUCG
RNAcentral lists this ribosomal RNA (632 nucleotides) under Nannocystis sp. Its description in RNAcentral is "bacterial SSU rRNA". It matches the Rfam family "Bacterial small subunit ribosomal RNA", at positions 55 to 690 of the family's 1533-position model. The record is from RNAcentral. Lineage: Bacteria; Pseudomonadati; Myxococcota; Nannocystales; Nannocystaceae.